Molecule: unclassified non-coding RNA, 294 nt
Filed under: Hevea brasiliensis (rubber tree)
Lineage: Eukaryota; Viridiplantae; Streptophyta; Magnoliopsida; Malpighiales; Euphorbiaceae
Source: RNAcentral
AGGCAAGACAACUCUUGCUCAGUUAGCACAUAAUGAUGAGGAGGUAACAAGAUAUUUUGAUGUUAAGAUUUGGGUUUUUGUAUCUGAUGAUUUUGAUGUGCAAAGGAUAAUGAUGGCAAUAAUUGAGUCUGCAACUAUGGAUAAAUGUGAUAGUUUGGCAAUGAAUGUGCUUCAGUCUAAGAUCUGGGCAUUAUUGCACAAGAAGAGGUACCUAAUCGUGCUGGAUGAUGUUUGGAUUGAAGAUCAUGAAGAGUGGGACAAACUAGAACCUCUCUUGAGGGCUGGCAUUGAUGG